This 347-nucleotide ribosomal RNA is filed under the name uncultured Desulfovibrio sp. RNAcentral's name for it is "bacterial SSU rRNA". It matches the Rfam family "Bacterial small subunit ribosomal RNA", at positions 1033 to 1382 of the family's 1533-position model. The record is from RNAcentral. Lineage: Bacteria; Pseudomonadati; Thermodesulfobacteriota; Desulfovibrionia; Desulfovibrionales; Desulfovibrionaceae.
GACAGGUGCUGCAUGGCUGUCGUCAGCUCGUGUCGUGAGAUGUUGGUUAAGUCCCGCAACGAGCGCAACCCUCGCCUUUAGUUGCCAGCAUUCAGUUGGGCACUCUAAAGGGACUGCCGGUGUCAAACCGGAGGAAGGUGGGGAUGACGUCAAGUCCUCAUGGCCUUUAUGUCUAGGGCUACACACGUACUACAAUGGCAGGUACAAAGGGCAGCGACACAGCGAUGUGAUGCGAAUCCCGAAAAGCCUGUCUCAGUCCGGAUCGGAGUCUGCAACUCGACUCCGUGAAGUUGGAAUCGCUAGUAAUCGUGGAUCAGCAUGCCACGGUGAAUACGUUCCCGGGCCUU